This 31-nucleotide non-coding RNA is filed under the name Mus musculus (house mouse). The record is from RNAcentral. Lineage: Eukaryota; Metazoa; Chordata; Mammalia; Rodentia; Muridae.
UAUGCACACCAUAGGUGCUAAAUAAAUGUGC